Molecule: ribosomal RNA, 460 nt
Filed under: uncultured bacterium
Lineage: Bacteria
Description: partial 16S ribosomal RNA
Rfam family: Bacterial small subunit ribosomal RNA
Source: RNAcentral
CCUACGGGAGACAGCAGUGAGGAAUAUUGGUCAAUGGACGCAAGUCUGAACCAGCCAUGCCGCGUGCAGGAAGACGGCCCUAUGAGUUGUAAACUUCUUUUGUACGGGGGUAAACGCAGAUACGUGUAUCUUUCUGAAAGUAUCGUACGAAUAAGGAUCGGCUAACUCCGUGCCAGCAGCCGCGGUAAUACGGAGGAUUCAAGCGUUAUCCGGAUUGAUUGGGUUUAAAGGGUGCGUAGGCGGUCGGAUAAGUUAGAGGUGAAAUCCCGAGGCUCAACUUUGGAAUUGCCUCUGAUACUGUUAGGCUAGAGAGUAGUUGCGGUAGGCGGAAUGUAUGGUGUAGCGGUGAAAUGCUUAGAGAUCACACAGAACACCGAUUGCGAAGGCAGCUCACCAAGCUACUACUGACGUUGAGGCACGAAAGCGUGGGUAGCAAACAGGAUUAGAUACCCUGGUAGUC